RNAcentral lists this microRNA precursor (132 nucleotides) under Ricinus communis (castor bean). The record is from RNAcentral. Lineage: Eukaryota; Viridiplantae; Streptophyta; Magnoliopsida; Malpighiales; Euphorbiaceae.
AAACAAAGAGUCUGUCAGAUUAGCCAACAUGACAUGACUGCCUGGAAAUCUAUAUAACAUAAUGCGAAGCACAAUCCAGAUAGCUAUAGAAGCAGGCAAGUCAUUCUUGGCUGUCAAACAAAAUUCUUGUCU